RNAcentral lists this ribosomal RNA (963 nucleotides) under Salmonella enterica. RNAcentral describes it as "partial 23S ribosomal RNA". It matches the Rfam family "Bacterial large subunit ribosomal RNA", at positions 1292 to 2238 of the family's 2925-position model. RNAcentral also lists the same sequence under 2 other names. Lineage: Bacteria; Pseudomonadati; Pseudomonadota; Gammaproteobacteria; Enterobacterales; Enterobacteriaceae. The record is from RNAcentral.
GAAUGCUGACAUAAGUAACGAUAAAGCGGGUGAAAAGCCCGCUCGCCGGAAGACCAAGGGUUCCUGUCCAACGUUAAUCGGGGCAGGGUGAGUCGACCCCUAAGGCGAGGCCGAAAGGCGUAGUCGAUGGGAAACGGGUUAAUAUUCCCGUACUUGGUGUUACUGCGAAGGGGGGACGGAGAAGGCUAUGUUGGCCGGGCGACGGUUGUCCCGGUUUAAGCGUGUAGGUGUGUGUUCCAGGUAAAUCCGGUUCACUUUAACACUGAGGCGUGACGACGAGGCACUACGGUGCUGAAGCAACAAAUGCCCUGCUUCCAGGAAAAGCCUCUAAGCAUCAGGUAACAUCAAAUCGUACCCCAAACCGACACAGGUGGUCAGGUAGAGAAUACCAAGGCGCUUGAGAGAACUCGGGUGAAGGAACUAGGCAAAAUGGUGCCGUAACUUCGGGAGAAGGCACGCUGACACGUAGGUGAAGUGAUUUACUCAUGGAGCUGAAGUCAGUCGAAGAUACCAGCUGGCUGCAACUGUUUAUUAAAAACACAGCACUGUGCAAACACGAAAGUGGACGUAUACGGUGUGACGCCUGCCCGGUGCCGGAAGGUUAAUUGAUGGGGUCAGCGCAAGCGAAGCUCCUGAUCGAAGCCCCGGUAAACGGCGGCCGUAACUAUAACGGUCCUAAGGUAGCGAAAUUCCUUGUCGGGUAAGUUCCGACCUGCACGAAUGGCGUAAUGAUGGCCAGGCUGUCUCCACCCGAGACUCAGUGAAAUUGAACUCGCUGUGAAGAUGCAGUGUACCCGCGGCAAGACGGAAAGACCCCGUGAACCUUUACUAUAGCUUGACACUGAACAUUGAGCCUUGAUGUGUAGGAUAGGUGGGAGGCUUUGAAGCGUGGACGCCAGUCUGCGUGGAGCCGACCUUGAAAUACCACCCUUUAAUGUUUGAUGUUCUAACGUGGACCCGUUA